This 264-nucleotide ribosomal RNA is filed under the name Spinomantis sp. 2 MV-2009. RNAcentral's name for it is "partial 16S ribosomal RNA". Lineage: Eukaryota; Metazoa; Chordata; Amphibia; Anura; Mantellidae. The record is from RNAcentral.
UAUAAGACGAGAAGACCCCAUGGAGCUUUAAACCUGACUACACCCCUAUCUAUUAUACCCUUAAAUCAACAGGGCCUUUGUCUGUCGGUUUUAGGUUGGGGUGACCGCGGAGCAUAAAUUAACCUCCAAGAUGAACUGGACUAACCCAUUAUCUAAGAUUUACACCUCAAAGAAUCAGCACACUGACAUAAAAUGAUCCGACAUUCGAUCAACGAACCAAGUUACCCUGGGGAUAACAGCGCAAUCUACUUCAAGAGCCCCUAU